AACGAACGCUGGCGGUAUGCUUAACACAUGCAAGUCGAACGCUGAGACUUCGGUCAAGGCGUGGCAGACGGGUGAGUAAUGCAUGGGAACGUACCUUUUGGUGGGGGAUAACGCAUGGAAACGUGCGACAAUACCGCAUAAGCCCUUCGGGGGAAAGCCUUGUGCGCCAGAAGAGCGGCCCAUGUCAGAUUAGGUAGUUGGUGAGGUAAAGGCUCACCAAGCCAAUGAUCUGUAGCUGAUUUGAGAGGAUGAUCAGCCACACUGGGACUGAGAACGGCCCAGACUCCUACGGGAGGCAGCAGUGGGGAAUAUUGGACAAUGGAGGAAACUCUGAUCCAGCAAUACCGCGUGAGUGAUGAAGGCCUUAGGGUUGUAAAGCUCUUUUAUUGGGGAAGAAAAUGACGGUACCCAAUGAAUAAGCCCCGGCUAACUUCG
This 435-nucleotide ribosomal RNA is filed under the name uncultured Alphaproteobacteria bacterium. RNAcentral's name for it is "bacterial SSU rRNA". It matches the Rfam family "Bacterial small subunit ribosomal RNA", at positions 29 to 505 of the family's 1533-position model. Lineage: Bacteria; Pseudomonadati; Pseudomonadota; Alphaproteobacteria. The record is from RNAcentral.